CCUAACAAAUACUUUAUAUUUUUUUUUCUACUUUUUACAAUUUCCCGAUAUUAAAAUAUAGAUACAUUAUUAUAAAUUCCCUGUUUAGGUCACCAUAAAUAGGACCUUUAUGAGAUGAUAAAGAGGACCAAUGCUCAUCAAAACCUAUAACUCCAGAGAAAGAGUUCCCUACAAAAUUCCCCAAAUUCACAGUGAAGGAUUCUUGGUCAAAUUCUCUCAACUUCCCUUAUCUUUCAAGAGGCUUCCACAUAUCUUGAUCCUUUUUAUAGUCACAGCAAGGAAGACCUCUUAAUAGAGAUUCAGCCUUAUGAAGUAGGAGUUGCCAACAUGAUCUCUUUCGAGAUGACAACCUUAUAUUCUCUAAGGGAGCAUUUUCUUAAUCUCGAGAGGUUGUUCGAAUUCUAGAUGUAUAUGAAAAGACUUAUGGUCAAGUUAUCAACUACGAAAAAUUUGCCAUUGCUUUAGGCCCUCGUAUCCUCCUUCAAAAAAGACAGAUAUAAUCAAUCAUCUAAAGGUCAAAUUGGUUCGCAAUCAUGGAAGGUAUUUGGAUGUUCCUUCAUCCUUGUCAAAGAAUAAACAAGUAUCAUUAUCUUAUAUUAAAGACAAAGUGUGUAAAACUUUGUAGGGAUAGAAGGAUCGUUUGUUCUUGAAAGCUAGCAAAUAAGUGUUGAUCAAAUAAUUGGCUCAUGUCAUUCCAGCCUAUACUCUUUCUUGCUUUAAAUUGCCUAUGGGAUCUUGUCAUGAGCUUAAUUAAAUUAUGGCCAAUUGUUGGAGUGGUUCUGAUAAUGGCAAAAAGACUCGAUGGGUUAGUUUGAAGCGAAUGACUUACCCUAAAGGAGAAAGGUGGCUUAGGUUUCCAAGAUAUUCAUCUUUUAAAUCAAGCGUUGUUGGCAACACACAUGACACAUCCUAGAAGGAGAGCAUCCUCUUAUGGCUCAGACGUCAAAGGCUAAACAUUUUCCAAACUCUUCUUUUCUCCAUGCGGGUAUGGGCUAUCAUCAUUCCUAUACAUGGUGAAGCAUAUUAUGGAGUCGUGAGUUUGCGCUCAAAGGUGGGUGUAGAGGAUUGGGGUGGCCAAUCAGUAGAUACCUAGAGAAUUUGCCUUCAUGUUACUCCCUUUACCAAUACUACUUUAUGUAUCUUCAGUAGAUGGUUUUAUUUAUUAUGGGCAAUAGAACCAUACUCUGACAAAUGAGUUGUUCUAUUCGAAGGAUUUUAGCGUUCUUAGGAGUAUCCCCUUCACUCUUCACCUCAUCUCAAUUGUUUUUUUUCAACAUUAUGAUUAUAUUAUAUUAUAUUAUAUAUAUAUAUAUAUAUACUCUAACAAGAGUGAGUACAAGUUGGCUCAGGCCUCGACGUUGGAAGCAUUUUCCUCUUAUAGUCUUCUCAUGGAAAAAUUUUAGAAAUCAUUGGGGACCUUUUUUGUCUCACAAAAGACGAAAAUAUGUGUGGCACGCAUACCUUAAUUCUCUUAUCAUCACCAGUGGGAAAUGCCCUUGAUGUCAUCAUGCUUCGAAAUCGAGUAUCCCUACUCUUUGGGAAUGGCCUAGCAGAUUUUGAUCCUGAUGGAUACCAGAAUCUUUUUGCUCAUUGCUUCCGCCAUUUGACACAUAUGUAACAUUCUGGUUUUUUAUGGCCAUAGCAAUCAUAAUUUUGAUCCUAUCUGAUAGGCAAUGAACUUGGUGGAAUCUAUCGAUCGACAAUCCAAAUCAGAUCACGUCCAGUUGCCUCGCUAUCGCCUGGCUUUUGAGGAGGUCUCUCAUUGGUCAGCCCUUGCCCAUGACAUAUUUAAGCUAAACUCUAAUGCGGAUUUUCUGGAUGGUGAAAUGGGUAUUGGAGCCAUUGUUCAUAAGAAUGGCAAUGUUUUGUUUAAUAUGGAAAGUUACUUCAUUACGACAUGGUCUGUAGAGCUCCUUGAGGCCGUUGAUAUUUCUAGUGUCUUUGAGGCUAGCAUUUUUUUUCUUUGGAUCAAAUCUGGUUUCAAAAUUCUUUGAAAUUAGAAAUUUUCAUCACACGA
This is a non-coding RNA of Benincasa hispida (wax gourd), 2017 nucleotides long. NCBI's taxonomy places the organism in Eukaryota, Viridiplantae, Streptophyta, Magnoliopsida, Cucurbitales, Cucurbitaceae. The record is from RefSeq and is a predicted model, not a curated record.